RNAcentral lists this ribosomal RNA (440 nucleotides) under uncultured bacterium. RNAcentral's name for it is "partial 16S ribosomal RNA". It matches the Rfam family "Bacterial small subunit ribosomal RNA", at positions 338 to 795 of the family's 1533-position model. The record is from RNAcentral.
CCUACGGGUGGCAGCAGUGGGGAAUAUUGCACAAUGGGGGAAACCCUGAUGCAGCGACGCCGCGUGAGUGAAGAAGUAAUUCGUUAUGUAAAGCUCUAUCAGCAGGGAAGAAAAUGACGGUACCUGAGUAAGAAGCCCCGGCUAACUACGUGCCAGCAGCCGCGGUAAUACGUAGGGGGCAAGCGUUAUCCGGAUUUACUGGGUGGAAAGGGAGCGUAGACGGCAGUGCAAGUCUGGAGUGAAAGGCGGGGGCUCAACCCCCGGACUGCUCUGGAAACUGUAGGGCUGGAGUGCAGGAGAGGUAAGUGGAAUGCCUAGUGGAGCGGUGAAAUGCGUAGAUAUUAGGAGGAACACCAGUGGCGAAGGCGGCUUACUGGACUGUAACUGACGUUGAGGCUCGAAAGCGUGGGGAGCAAACAGGAUUAGAUACCCGAGUAGUC